Molecule: ribosomal RNA, 805 nt
Filed under: uncultured bacterium
Lineage: Bacteria
Description: bacterial SSU rRNA
Rfam family: Bacterial small subunit ribosomal RNA
Source: RNAcentral
UGCAAGUCGAGGGGCAGCACAGGUAGCGAUACCGGGUGGCGACCGGCAAACGGGUGCGUAACACGUACACAACCAACCCCCGUCCGGGGGACAGGCCGCCGAAAGGCGGAUUAACCCCCCCAUGGAACGCGUGUCCCGCAUGGGAUGCGCGUCAAACCCCCGGGGACGGGGACGGGUGUGCGGACGAUUAGCUAGUUGGCGGGGCAACGGCCCACCAAGGCGACGAUCGUUAGCUGAUGUGAGAGCAUGGUCAGCCACACGGGCACUGAGACACGGGCCCGACUCCUACGGGAGGCAGCAGUAAGGAAUAUUGGUCAAUGGGCGCAGGCCUGAACCAGCCAUGCCGCGUGGAGGACGAAGGCCCUCCGGGUCGUAAACUCCUUUUACCCGGGACGAAAAAAGCCCUUUUGAGGGCACUUGACGGUACCGGGGGAAUAAGCACCGGCUAACUCCGUGCCAGCAGCCGCGGUAAUACGGAGGGUGCGAGCGUUAUCCGGAUUCACUGGGUUUAAAGGGUGCGCAGGCGGGCUUUUAAGUCAGCGGUGAAACCCGCGGGCUCAACCCGCGGACUGCCGAUGAUACUAGGGGCCUUGGAUGUCGCUGAGGGCAGCGGAAUGGGGCAUGUAGCGGUGAAAUGCAUAGAUAUGCCCCGGAACACCGAUUGCGGAGGCAGCUGCCUAAAGGACGAUCGACGCUGAGGCACGAAAGCGUGGGUAGCGAACAGGAUUAGAUACCCUGGUAGUCCACGCCCUAAACGAUGAUUACUCGACGUCCGCGGCAUACUGUGGGCGUCCAAGCGAAAGCA